RNAcentral lists this ribosomal RNA (522 nucleotides) under uncultured Roseburia sp. RNAcentral's name for it is "bacterial SSU rRNA". It matches the Rfam family "Bacterial small subunit ribosomal RNA", at positions 1 to 527 of the family's 1533-position model. Lineage: Bacteria; Bacillati; Bacillota; Clostridia; Lachnospirales; Lachnospiraceae. The record is from RNAcentral.
UAGAGUUUGAUCAUGGCUCAGGAUGAACGCUGGCGGCGUGCCUAACACAUGCAAGUCGAACGAACCUUGGGGAACAGAUUACUUCGGUUUGAAGUUCCCCGCUGGUUAGUGGCGGACGGGUGAGUAACGCGUGGGUAACCUGCCGUAUGCAGGGGGAUAACAGUUAGAAAUGACUGCUAAUACCGCAUAAGCGCACAGUAUCGCAUGAUACAGUGUGAAAAACGAUAGUGGCAUACGAUGGACCCGCGUCUGAUUAGCUAGUUGGCGGGGUAACGGCCCACCAAGGCGACGAUCAGUAGCCGGCCUGAGAGGGUGAACGGCCACAUUGGAACUGAGACACGGUCCAAACUCCUACGGGAGGCAGCAGUGGGGGAUAUUGCACAAUGGGGGAAACCCUGAUGCAGCGACGCCGCGUGAGUGAAGAAGUAUUUCGGUAUGUAAAGCUCUAUCAGCAGGAAAGAUAAUGACGGUACCUGACUAAGAAGCACCGGCUAAAUACGUGCCAGCAGCCGCGGUAAUACG